GAUGCUGUUAACAAAAGAACAACAAGGAGUCAUUUGUUUCACUCAGGAGUACAAUGUUGGCUUGGAAAAGCAACAUAAGGCAUUCAAAUGCUUCAUUUAUCAUUUGGCGUAAUUUGCUUGUGCCCGCUAUGAACUUAGAUUUUCAUUUGUAUGAUACAGAUGCAUUCCAUCAGUAAAAAGUCUAAAACAAGCAGAAUUUGAUAGAAUACGAAAUCAAAGAUUUACCUGCUAGGUAUGCUGAGGUCUUGCCAGUGCCCGUUUUUCAUGAUCUUCACCUGGGCGAGCUGACCAAUGUUCCUGAAUUGAAAUGUUUGAGCUUUUCAUCAGCAUAAGCAGAUUCAGAUUAGAACUUCCAGAAUCUAGAUGUGGUAUUGCGUGAUAAAAGUUUCGAAAGGUUAGUUAAAAGUGGAUCAAACUCUUGUAGAAGUUUACUUACUCAGCAGCCGGAUGAAAGAGAGAAGCAGCAAACCAUCCUUGUGUGCAUCCGAGCUUCAUGUAAGUACUCUGCAAGAGAGAAACAUAAGGAUGCAGCUUGCGCUCGGAAUGGAAUGCGUAUGAUACCUGAGCGUCCAUUCCUGUUAAAACACGAAGAUGCAAAGGAGAUAGAGAUGGGAAUGUAUAGGUCCAUAGGAAACUGUAUAUAGCAUGUGUUGUAAAAGCAAUUUACGAGUGCUACGAGCAGAUUGCUAUCAUUGUUUAGGAAGAAUUCGGUCUUACCCAUGCUGAAGUAGUUCCAGAAUCCGCCUCGAAACGUGUGAUAACCUUCCUGUGGGUCGAUCCAACAAGCAUAUGUACCAGAUGGUUAGAGGACGGUGGUUGUCUAUUGAAUGUAACCGUUUGAGGUAAGAAGGUACAGAAGGCAGUAGUAUAGCAUUCUUGCCAUGCUCAGUUCGUCCGUUGUAGAAACACGAGAAAACGCAUGCAGAGAAUGUGGCAGGUCAAGGGGCGCAAUGGGAUCGAACGAACCCUCUUUAGGAGCCUUCAUCCGCAUCAGAAUAUGCCAACUGCGUCACUCAUUCGUGAUCAAUUUCAAUAAUGAACUGCCUAUCUUUUGUUAUAACAAGUGAACAUAUACAGUCGCAGAAGUUGAAGUCGUAAA
Non-coding RNA from Punica granatum (pomegranate), 1099 nucleotides. Lineage: Eukaryota; Viridiplantae; Streptophyta; Magnoliopsida; Myrtales; Lythraceae. The record is from RefSeq and is a predicted model, not a curated record.